AUUGAACGCUGGCGGCAUGCCUUACACAUGCAAGUCGAACGGCAGCGGGGGGCUUCGGUCCGCCGGCGAGUGGCGAACGGGUGAGUAAUAUAUCGGAACGUACCUUUUCAGUGGGGGAUAACGUAGCGAAAGUUACGCUAAUACCGCAUAUUCUGUGAGCAGGAAAGCAGGGGACCUUCGGGCCUUGCGCUGAUUGAGCGGCCGAUAUCAGAUUAGCUAGUUGGUGGGGUAAAGGCCUACCAAGGCAACGAUCUGUAGCGGGUCUGAGAGGAUGAUCCGCCACACUGGAACUGAGACACGGUCCAGACUCCUACGGGAGGCAGCAGUGGGGAAUUUUGGACAAUGGGCGCAAGCCUGAUCCAGCCAUCGCCGCGUGAGUGAAG
Molecule: ribosomal RNA, 383 nt
Filed under: uncultured bacterium
Lineage: Bacteria
Description: bacterial SSU rRNA
Rfam family: Bacterial small subunit ribosomal RNA
Source: RNAcentral